CCUACGGGAGGCAGCAGUGGGGGAUAUUGCACAAUGGGGGAAACCCUGAUGCAGCGACACCGCGUGGGCGAAGAAGUAUUUCGGUAUGUAAAGCCCUAUCAGCAGGGAAGAAGAAAUGACGGUACCUGAGUAAGAAGCACCGGCUAAAUACGUGCCAGCAGCCGCGGUAAUACGUAUGGUGCAAGCGUUAUCCGGAUUUACUGGGUGGAAAGGGAGCGCAGGCGGCACGGCAAGCCUGAUGUGAAAGCCCGCGGCCCAACCGCGGGACUGCAUUGGGAACUACCGGGCUGGAGUGCCGGAGAGGUAGGCGGAAUUCGUAGUGUAGCGGUGAAAUGCGUAGAUAUUAGGAGGAACACCAGUGGCGAAGGCGGCCUACUGGACGGUGACUGACGCUGAGGCUCGAAAGCGUGGGGAGCAAACAGGAUUAGAUACCCGAGUAGUC
This 442-nucleotide ribosomal RNA is filed under the name uncultured bacterium. RNAcentral's name for it is "partial 16S ribosomal RNA". It matches the Rfam family "Bacterial small subunit ribosomal RNA", at positions 338 to 795 of the family's 1533-position model. The record is from RNAcentral.